GGCUCCUUGUUAGUAGAUAAAUAAGGAGUCGGACCUGCCCAGUGAAUUUUUUUUCAACGGCCGCGGUACUCUGACCGUGCAAAGGUAGCAUAAUCAUUUGCCUUAUAAUUGAAGGCUAGUAUGAACGGUUUGACAAGAAUAUAGCUGUCUCUUUAUAAUUUGAUAGAACUUUAUUUUGGGGUGAAGAAGCCCCAAUUAAAUUAAAAGACAAGAAGACCCUAUCGAGCUUUAAAAAAAUUAAUGGAAUGUAUAAUAUUAAUACAAUGAUUAAAAAAUCGGCUGUUAAAGAUUUUGGUUGGGGCGACUAAGGAACAAAAAUAGCUUCCUUUGCAGGUACUAUAACAUACAGGUAUUGAUCCAAAAUUUUUGAUUAAAGAAGUUAGUUACCGUAGGGAUAACAGCAUUAUCCUCUUUGAGAGCUCUUAUCGAAAAGGGGGUUUGUGACCUCGAUGUUGGACCAGAAUAUCCUAAAGAUGUAGAAGUCUUUAAGGGUUGGUCUGUUCGACCAUUAAAAUUCU
This 518-nucleotide ribosomal RNA is filed under the name Polystira sp. R-GUY-9. RNAcentral's name for it is "partial large subunit ribosomal RNA". It matches the Rfam family "Bacterial large subunit ribosomal RNA", at positions 1817 to 2597 of the family's 2925-position model. Lineage: Eukaryota; Metazoa; Mollusca; Gastropoda; Neogastropoda; Turridae. The record is from RNAcentral.